ACAAGAGCUAGAGGAAUUUUAGGAGGAGCCUUUUCAUUCAGGAAGGGGUGGAAAUAAUUUUCCAUGUGGGAAGGGCAUGCUAAGUGGGAAGAACUGAUGGAAAAGGGAGUCCAGGAGAUAGGAAAGCACAUUUAAGGCAGGCAGUGGGCUGGGCGUGGUGGUGCACCCCUGUAAUCCCAGAACUAGGAGGGCGAGGCCAGAGGAUUGCCAUGAGUUCCAGGCCAGCCUGGAUUAUAUAGCAAGACUCUGUCGCAGUAAAAUAAAAUAAAUAAAGCAGGCAGCGAGCUGUUGGCGAAGGUGUUAGACUGAAUAAGGCCCCCAGAGACUUCCACUCUAGUGGGAAGCGACAGUCGACAGGGGCUGGGCCGGUGUGCAUGCGUGUUGGCUGCUGUUGGCCUGUCAAGGCCUGACUCGGCAGAUUGUUCCCGCGGGGAUCCCGGGAUCCCGACAGAACCCUGCCAAGGAGAAGCCAGAGCAGCCUGGGCCAGGCCCUCAGCUCCAUGUGGAUGCACAGCCCUAGCCCUGUUCCCUCCCCUGGGCUGGCAAAGGAGCAGAUCACAAGGCCGUCCCAGAUGUCCAGGCCUGGCCAGACCGCAGUCCUCCCGGCAGCUUGCUGGUGUUGGCAGUGGGCCCCUCCUUCCUCUCCGUGUGCCACUGAGGCACAGCCUGGGAAUUUGGGUGGAUUUAUUUUACCUGCUGAACACUCACAGGUGUUACCUCCCCCUACUUUUGAUUCCUGCGGUCUUGACUCAGUUUUGACUCCGUGGUCUGUCACCUCCCUGGCCUCUUAUUUUUGGAUCGGGGUGUCUCUCCUGCCAAAAGCAAGAUAAAUAUUCCAGUUCAGCUGGGUUGUAGCCUUGGUGCUUGGCUAAAAUUUGCUUUCCAGAUUUACUUUUGGCCUGGGCCCUUGGAGAGCCAAAUUGUCCAGUUCCCGAUUCACCUUUGUUCCUUCGGGUGACCUGCUGAGACGCCGUGGCAUCAGAUUGGCGCUGUGUAAAUGAGCAGGGCAAGCUACCGAGGCCAAAUCAGUGCUCAUCUACAAAUGUGCACUGUCAAAUACAGCUACAGGAGAGGCGCCUCCCGAAGACACUUGGAGAGCAUGGUACCUGCAUCCUGGAGUCCAAUACCCAGUGGAGAAAACCAGAGGCAGAGGAGAGAGGGAGCCAAGCCUGGAGGACUCUGCUCCCUCGGACAGUGAUUUCCAUGCAGGGGCUAGAACAGAAGAGGCAGAAAGCCAAACAGAAGCGGAGGACCCCCCAUACCCUGCAGGCCUCCAUCUGGAAGCAAGACCAAGCUGGGAGAAAGGAAAAUCUCUGACCUGGAGUGACAUUUGUGUGGCCUUUAUUAAUUUCAUCAGGGUAGAAAACAAAAUAAAACAAAACAAAACAAAAAAACCGAAUACUGCACCCUUCAGAGAAUUGGAAGGGUUGGGGCAACAAAAAAAUCAUUUUCUGUUGGUGAUCGACUGCAUCCUGUUCAUUCAAUAAAAUGCAUGUGCCCAACAAA
Long non-coding RNA from Heterocephalus glaber (naked mole-rat), 1506 nucleotides. RefSeq lists it as uncharacterized. NCBI's taxonomy places the organism in Eukaryota, Metazoa, Chordata, Mammalia, Rodentia, Bathyergidae. The record is from RefSeq and is a predicted model, not a curated record.